RNAcentral lists this ribosomal RNA (1379 nucleotides) under Streptococcus thermophilus. RNAcentral describes it as "bacterial SSU rRNA". It matches the Rfam family "Bacterial small subunit ribosomal RNA", at positions 72 to 1438 of the family's 1533-position model. The record is from RNAcentral. Lineage: Bacteria; Bacillati; Bacillota; Bacilli; Lactobacillales; Streptococcaceae.
AGAGGAGCUUGCUCUUCUUGGAUGAGUUGCGAACGGGUGAGUAACGCGUAGGUAACCUGCCUUGUAGCGGGGGAUAACUAUUGGAAACGAUAGCUAAUACCGCAUAACAAUGGAUGACACAUGUCAUUUAUUUGAAAGGGGCAAUUGCUCCACUACAAGAUGGACCUGCGUUGUAUUAGCUAGUAGGUGAGGUAAUGGCUCACCUAGGCGACGAUACAUAGCCGACCUGAGAGGGUGAUCGGCCACACUGGGACUGAGACACGGCCCAGACUCCUACGGGAGGCAGCAGUAGGGAAUCUUCGGCAAUGGGGGCAACCCUGACCGAGCAACGCCGCGUGAGUGAAGAAGGUUUUCGGAUCGUAAAGCUCUGUUGUAAGUCAAGAACGGGUGUGAGAGUGGAAAGUUCACACUGUGACGGUAGCUUACCAGAAAGGGACGGCUAACUACGUGCCAGCAGCCGCGGUAAUACGUAGGUCCCGAGCGUUGUCCGGAUUUAUUGGGCGUAAAGCGAGCGCAGGCGGUUUGAUAAGUCUGAAGUUAAAGGCUGUGGCUCAACCAUAGUUCGCUUUGGAAACUGUCAAACUUGAGUGCAGAAGGGGAGAGUGGAAUUCCAUGUGUAGCGGUGAAAUGCGUAGAUAUAUGGAGGAACACCGGUGGCGAAAGCGGCUCUCUGGUCUGUAACUGACGCUGAGGCUCGAAAGCGUGGGGAGCGAACAGGAUUAGAUACCCUGGUAGUCCACGCCGUAAACGAUGAGUGCUAGGUGUUGGAUCCUUUCCGGGAUUCAGUGCCGCAGCUAACGCAUUAAGCACUCCGCCUGGGGAGUACGACCGCAAGGUUGAAACUCAAAGGAAUUGACGGGGGCCCGCACAAGCGGUGGAGCAUGUGGUUUAAUUCGAAGCAACGCGAAGAACCUUACCAGGUCUUGACAUCCCGAUGCUAUUUCUAGAGAUAGAAAGUUACUUCGGUACAUCGGUGACAGGUGGUGCAUGGUUGUCGUCAGCUCGUGUCGUGAGAUGUUGGGUUAAGUCCCGCAACGAGCGCAACCCCUAUUGUUAGUUGCCAUCAUUCAGUUGGGCACUCUAGCGAGACUGCCGGUAAUAAACCGGAGGAAGGUGGGGAUGACGUCAAAUCAUCAUGCCCCUUAUGACCUGGGCUACACACGUGCUACAAUGGUUGGUACAACGAGUUGCGAGUCGGUGACGGCGAGCUAAUCUCUUAAAGCCAAUCUCAGUUCGGAUUGUAGGCUGCAACUCGCCUACAUGAAGUCGGAAUCGCUAGUAAUCGCGGAUCAGCACGCCGCGGUGAAUACGUUCCCGGGCCUUGUACACACCGCCCGUCACACCACGAGAGUUUGUAACACCCGAAGUCGGUGAGGUAA